Molecule: long non-coding RNA, 635 nt
Organism: Peromyscus eremicus (cactus mouse)
Lineage: Eukaryota; Metazoa; Chordata; Mammalia; Rodentia; Cricetidae
Exons: 4
Source: RefSeq, a predicted model, not a curated record
UUUUUUAUUUUUUCUCUCACAUACUUGUCUCCAGCCACUCAACUACUAAUUUUUCUCAUGGUAAUGAUCUAAUAGUUGGCAAAGAUCUACUUACAGGAGAAAGGAAGAAUUCCACAGAGGAUGAAGAAGAGACAGUCAGUCCACCUGGAUGAACAUGGCUCAGCAAGUAUCUCUUUAGUUGGAUGUGGCAAUUUUGAGGUAUAUUCCCAAGAGUGGUAUAGCUGGAUCUUGAGGUAAUUCAAUUCCCAUCUUCCUGAGAAACUUCCACACUGGUGUCCACAGUGGCUGGACAAAUUUGCACUCCUACCAGCAAUGGGCUAGAGAUAUGGAGUAUAAUGUUCUCUUGAGACUGUGGGGCCAAGUGGGGAAAUCAUGCCAGUCAGUCACAUAACCCCGAGGGCAACAGUCAAUAAUCUACAGCAUCACAUCACUACCUGCUCUGUGCUGUACGACUAAUGGAGUCUGUGAAGGAAAUAAGAGUCUGCUCAACAUUUACUUACUUAUUGGCUGUCUUCUUUUUUCAUGUAUCACCAAAUCUCCACUGUCAACUACCUGCAGCCUUCCAUGUUAAUACAGAAAUAAAGGCAUAGGAUCCAACACUCAUAGGAUCCAUGUUCCAUGAAAAAUAAAAAUAU